Molecule: ribosomal RNA, 497 nt
Filed under: uncultured bacterium
Lineage: Bacteria
Description: partial 16S ribosomal RNA
Rfam family: Bacterial small subunit ribosomal RNA
Source: RNAcentral
GAUGAACGCUGGCGGCGUGCCUAAUACAUGCAAGUCGAGCGAACGGACGAGAAGCUUGCUUCUCUGAUGUUAGCGGCGGACGGGUGAGUAACACGUGGAUAACCUACCUAUAAGACUGGGAUAACUUCGGGAAACCGUAGCUAAUACCGGAUAAUAUUUUGAACCGCAUGGUUCAAAAGUGAAAGACGGUCUUGCUGUCACUUAUAGAUGGAUCCGCGCUGCAUUAGCUAGUUGGUAAGGUAACGGCUUACCAAGGCAACGAUGCAUAGCCGACCUGAGAGGGUGAUCGGCCACACUGGAACUGAGACACGGUCCAGACUCCUACGGGAGGCAGCAGUAGGGAAUCUUCCGCAAUGGGCGAAAGCCUAACGGAGCAACGCCGCGUGAGUGAUGAAGGUCUUCGGAUCGUAAAACUCUGUUAUUAGGGAAGAACAUAUGUGUAAGUAACUGUGCACAUCUUGACGGUACCUAAUCAGAAAGCCACGGCUAACUACGUG